Molecule: transfer RNA, 77 nt
Filed under: Hoylesella buccalis
Lineage: Bacteria; Pseudomonadati; Bacteroidota; Bacteroidia; Bacteroidales; Prevotellaceae
Also listed under: 3 other names
Description: Prevotella buccalis tRNA-Arg
Rfam family: tRNA
About the family: Transfer RNA (tRNA) molecules are approximately 80 nucleotides in length. Their secondary structure includes four short double-helical elements and three loops (D, anti-codon, and T loops).
Source: RNAcentral
GGCUCCGUAGUUCAGCUGAAUAGAAUGCAGGAUUCCGGUUCCUGAGAUCGCGGGUUUGAAUCCCGCCGGAGUCACCC